RNAcentral lists this long non-coding RNA (4308 nucleotides) under Malus domestica (apple). RNAcentral's name for it is "long non-coding RNA (MDOM_LNC014320)". Lineage: Eukaryota; Viridiplantae; Streptophyta; Magnoliopsida; Rosales; Rosaceae. The record is from RNAcentral.
CGCAAAUCCUUUUAGGCCGAGACUUGGAUAGAUAACCAGUCGGCCUUGACGCAGUGCUGUUUAUCCAAAUUGAAGAUGUUCACCGGUUGCCUUCACAGUGCUGUUUAUCCAAACUGAAGAUGUGUCGGCGGAAAAGAAACUAAAAAAUCUCAAGGUUGUUGAGAUGUUUCGCGUAGAGCAAGAAUUUGCGCAGGGCAGUUUGUGUGUUGAGUUGGAGAGGGAUUUCUCCGUCGCAAAGCAUCUUGAAUUUAUAGCAUUAUGUCUUCUGCUUGGCACGGCUAGAUAAUAAUCUUGUAGAGUCCAAUUGCAACUCUAACUGGUGGAAUGAAAAACUGACAUAGGCUAAAGCCUAUCUUCCAGAUGGCUAUCCGUAAUUUUCAAUAAAUAAAUAAAAACCUAUCCAAGAUUAUCACAUCAUGACCAAAGACCUAGCCUACCUUAGCCUCAUAUCUCAUCACCUGUAAUGGAAUUAUCACAUCAUGACCAUAGGCCUAGCCUACCUAGGCUUCUUAUCUCAUCACCCCCAUCCAUGCAUGCAACUUGAUCCCCUUUCUUUAAUAUUAGCUUGCAGCAUAUCCAAUCCACACGUCCACACACACCCCAACUCAAUUUGAAUUGUACCGCUUGCUUAGGGAUAUAAUUCACAUCCUAUUUAUCCUGCUUAAGAAUAUGUCAAGAUAAUUCAUAUUAAAAGAAUAAUUAUUAUGAUAAAAACCAUAAUAUUAUUUUUUAACAAAAUUAUAUUCACUUUUCCAUCCGACGAUUGUGAGCUAUGCUCACUUAACGGCCUUGAUUGCACAAGCCGAUGAUGUAAAUUUGGGUCCAAACAUAAAUAAAAAAAAAUAGGGAGAAUUAUUUGAGAAGUAACUUGGAAGGAAAAGGGAUAUUUAUUUGGGAUGACUAGGCACUCUCACAAUUAGGAUUCUUAUUUCUAAGGAAGACUUAAGCAAGCUUUUAAUGUCACAAUAGUGUUUUGAGCUGAUAACGCAACGUCAUGUAUUUUAACGGCAUUUUCAUGUCAACAGUACAUGAUUGGUUCGUGAAGCUACGACUAUGUCUUCAAAAUUACACGUAUUUUUCUCUUCUAGUUUGCGAUUUAUUAUUUGCUUAAGCUCUAUGUGUUUAAGAACUUAGUAAAAGUGGGUUGCUUGUUAAAAAAGAAAAUUGAAGUUAAUUACUCAAAGUGACAACAAAUAAAUGAGCAAAUAGAUCAAUAUAUACAUAAGAUGAAUGAGAAUUUGUUAACUUUGUUUUGAUAACGGUAGCGUUGCUUCUUUAAUAUGUAACUGAAAGUCAAUCUUAGAAAAAAAAUUGUUGACGGAAGUGAAAUGAACAAGAUUAAAGAAGAAUAAUCGUAAUUAUGUUAACUUUCCUUAAACCUGUCCAAAUGCAAUUCAAUCAAAAGUUGAAAACCCUAAUAAUCCAUGAGCUUUAACCUUUCUAUUGCCCCCGUCUUUUUUACUGUUGUGUCACGUCUAAUAUUCAUCACUGGGCCAACAAGCCCUAUCCAAUCACGUGGACGUGCCUGAUUCUCAUGCACAUGCAUACAACUCCCAUUGGAGGAGAUCUUAUUAUAUACAAAUUUUGUGACAAAUAUGCUUACUUUCUCUAAACAAUUGUGUUUAAUUAAUUAUCCGAAUCUUUAAGUAAAUCUUGAGGUCUUCCUUUCUUAACGAUGCUUUGUCGGUGCUUACCACUUCUUCCUCGUAUUAAUCAUGUGAAAUUUGAAACAAAAGGGUAUAAAAUUCUAGCAUAUUAUAAUUAAUUUUCUUUGGUUCCACGACAAAACCAAAUAUCAUACUCCACUCAUAUCUCCUUGUGACCAAGGAUGGAUCCACAUAGGGACCUGGGAGGUCCCAGGACCCGUCGACGAUCCUAAAUCACUGCUAGAAAUUUUCCGGGGACCCCUCGUACUCGAGCAUGAGGUAUGUGUAGGUUGUAGGUUGUAGAUUGCAGGUUGCAGUGGUUGUCUUCUUCUCGGAGAAGAUGAUCGUGCACGGAGAAGAAAGAAAAUAGGGAUCCUUCCAGCCUCUCUCCUCCUUGCUUCUGCUAUGGUCUCAUCCAUCGGUGCCACCCACUUCUCCUCCAACCUUUCUCUGUCGUCUGGCGGGGCAGUACAUAAACCCAAAUUUCCCCAAAUUAUUUCAACCACCUUUGUAAUUUUUCUUAUGGGUGAAAUUUCCUACAUAAGGUUAGUAAGAUGGAUAUGAUCUGUCAUGGGUUGGUGAAAUUUGGGGGUGGAGCUGCCAUGGCUUCGGGAGAAUGGGGAGGGAGGCGGUUGGUGGAGGUAUGGUAGCUAUGUUUUUAGUGAGAGAGAAAGUGGAUGUUAGGAAACUAGUAAAAGAGAAAAAUGGUGUGUUUGGUUAGAAAGAUAGUGGGAGUUUGGGGAGAGUUUUAUUAAUUUGACUGGUGUUUUAAAUUUAGUGGUCCAUAUUAGAUAAUCAAUAACUUAGGUACUUCCUAGUAACUUAUGAAACCUCGUAAUAGACGCUUGAAUUAUGAUUUUAUAAUUUGUAAUAUUGUUUUGCAUAUGAUUUUUGAAUGAAAUGCAUUAUAUAUAAAUUUUCAAUGUUGUUUUUGUCUAUAAAUUUUUUGACCUUUAUUAUUGGGACCCCCCGAGUUUAAAAUUCUAAAUCCGCCAUUGUUUGUGACAUAGAGAUUUUUCAGUGUACUCGAGAACAUACAGUUCGGCAUACUAAGCGCAAUGAUAUAAUUAGUUAGAAACUUAAUUUUUCCUUGCGACAAACCUACUCACUGUCAGAAAAAUAAAAAAUAAAAGUAAUAGGAAGAAAAAAGUAGUAGUGAGAAAAAUAGUGAAUUAAAAGAGAAUGUUAUUUAAGUAUUCUUGUUACAUUUUUUCAUCUCGAAUAUAAGAGAAAACGCUAAACUCAAUGUCUGUUUAAGCUCAUGCAUCAUGAGUCAUACGAAUAAUUGAAUAAACUCAAAUUAUAUGUUGCUUUCUACUAGUUCUAGUCACGAUAAAAAUGAAUGCAUUAAGGGGGUCGUUGUCGCACAUCUUCAUCAAGUAUUGAUCAUGCUUAAUGAAUUAAUCACCACUAUUCAUUACAUCAUUUACAUGUCAAUUUCUCGCAUAUGAAAUAGCUCAAUAUAUACUAGCUAAUUAGUAUCUAAAUAUAUAAUGUUUAUGUAUCUUUCUUACUUCUUUUUGUCUUUUUAUAUAUUGCGUUUUGUUUUUGCGAAUCAUUUUAUUGAUUAAGUAAAACUAAAUGGGAGAUUAUUUGACACUCUAAAAUUAUCAUUUCCAAUCAGUCGGUGCUAAUUUUUUGUUUUUGCUUAUAAGGGAGGGUGCUUAAUAAACUUCUUUGAGUGCUAAUAGUUCCUCACUAAUUAAAUCAAGGAAAAAUUAGUAUCCAGUCUUAGUUACUAAUGUACUUUGAUUGAAACCUUAUUAGUUUUCAUAUUUUGAUCAAGGUCUCUAGCAUUAAUGCAAUAAUGAAUUUACAUGUCAAUUACAUAAUUUUUAAAAUAAAAAUUAAUAAUUGAUUUAGGAUUUUAAUACUCACACCUUCAUUAAACUCCUAAAUAAUUUUCAAUUCAAAACAUUUCCAAAAAAAAAAAAAUAGAAUAAGUUUGUACCCCUUAAUUUUUUUAUAAAAAGGUUUCGAAUUUUUUUAAUCUUGUAUGUACCCAUUCAUGUAGUUUUUCAAAAUUUUAAUCUUAAAAUGUACCUAUUCUUAAAUAUAAUUAAUCACCACUAUUCAUUACAUCAUUUACAUGUCAAUUUCUCGCAUAUGAUAAUAGCUCAAUAUAUACUAACUAAUUAGUAUCUAAAUAUAUAAUGUUUAUGCAUCUUUCUUACUUCUUUUUGUCUUUUUAUAUAUUGCCUUUUGUUUUGGCGAAUCAUUUUAUUGAUUAAGUAAAACUAAAUGGGAGAUUAUUUGACACUCUAAAAUUAUCAUUUCCAAUCACUCGGUGCUAAUUUUUUGUUUUUGCUUAUAAGGGAGGGUGCUUAAUGAACUUCUUUGCGUGCUAAUAGUUCCUCACUAAUUAAAUCAAGGAAAAAUUAGUAUACAGUCCUUAGUUACUAAUGUACUUUGAUUGAAACCUUAUUAGUUUUUAGAUUUUGAUCUAGGUCCCUAGUAUUAAUGUAAUAAUGAAUUUACAUGUCAGUUACAUAAUUUUUAAAAUAAAAAUUAAUAAUUGAUUUAGGAUUUUAAUACUCACACCUUCAUUAAACUCCUAAAUAAUUUUCAAUUCAAAACAUUUCCAAAAUAAAAAAAAAAUUAGAAUAAGUUUGUACCCCUUAAUUUUUUAUAAAAAGGUUUCCAAUUUUUUUAAUCUUGUAUG